RNAcentral lists this small RNA (17 nucleotides) under Arabidopsis thaliana (thale cress). RNAcentral's name for it is "ATSL278170". Lineage: Eukaryota; Viridiplantae; Streptophyta; Magnoliopsida; Brassicales; Brassicaceae. The record is from RNAcentral.
GUUUUGUUAGUGUUUUU